GAUCGGAGUCUGCAACCCGACUCCGUGAAGCUGGAUUCGCUAGUAAUCGCGCAUCAGCCAUGGCGCGGUGAAUACGUUCCCGGGCCUUGUACACACCGCCCGUCAAGCCAUGGGAGCCGGGGGUGCUUGAAGUGCGUCGCCGCAAGGCGCGCCCUAGAGCAAAACCGGUGACUGGGGCUAAGUCGUAACAAGGUACC
This 197-nucleotide ribosomal RNA is filed under the name uncultured bacterium. RNAcentral describes it as "partial 16S ribosomal RNA". It matches the Rfam family "Bacterial small subunit ribosomal RNA", at positions 1296 to 1500 of the family's 1533-position model. The record is from RNAcentral.